Molecule: ribosomal RNA, 159 nt
Filed under: uncultured bacterium
Lineage: Bacteria
Description: partial 16S ribosomal RNA
Rfam family: Bacterial small subunit ribosomal RNA
Source: RNAcentral
UGAGGAAUAUUGGUCAAUGGGCGAGAGCCUGAACCAGCCAAGUCGCGUGAGGGAAGACGGCCCUAUGGGUUGUAAACCUCUUUUUGCCGGGGAGCAAAGAACCGCACGUGUGCGGUUCUGGAGAGUACCCGGAGAAAAAGCAUCGGCUAACUCCGUGCC